GUAGGUGGCAAGCGUUGUCCGGAAUUAUUGGGCGUAAAGCGCGCGCAGGGCGGUCCUUUAAGUCUGAUGUGAAAGCCCACGGCUCAACCGUGGAGGGUCAUUGGAAACUGGGGGACUUGAGUACAGAAGAGGAAAGCGGAAUUCCAAGUGUAGCGGUGAAAUGCGUAGAGAUUUGGAGGAACACCAGUGGCGAAGGCGGCUUUCUGGUCUGUAACUGACGCUGAGGCGCGAAAGCGUGGGGAGCAAACAGGAUUAGAUACCCUGGUAGUCCACGCGUAAACGAUGAGUGCUAAGUGUUAGGGGGUUUCCGCCCCUUAGUGCUGCAGCUAACGCAUUAAGCACUCCGCCUGGGGAGUACGGCCGCAAGGCUG
RNAcentral lists this ribosomal RNA (371 nucleotides) under uncultured organism. RNAcentral's name for it is "partial 16S ribosomal RNA". It matches the Rfam family "Bacterial small subunit ribosomal RNA", at positions 527 to 896 of the family's 1533-position model. The record is from RNAcentral.